CGUAUGUGGUUUAAUUCGAAGCAACGCGAAGAACCUUACAGGUCUUGACAUCCCGAUGCUAUUUCUAGAGAUAGAAAGUUACUUUCGGUACAUCGGUGACAGGUGUGCAUGGUUGUCGUCAGCUCGUGUCGUGAGAUGUUGGGUUAAGUCCCGCAACGAGCGCAACCCCUAUUGUUAGUUGCCAUCAUUCAGUUGGGCACUCUAGCGAGACUGCCGGUGUCAAACCGGAGGAAGGUGGGGAUGACGUCAAGUCCUCAUGGCCUUUAUGACCAGGGCUACACACGUACUACAAUGGCAGGUACAAAGGGCAGCCACUUAGCGAUAAGGCGCGAAUCCCGUAAAACCUGUCUCAGUCCGGAUUGGAGUCUGCAACUCGACUCCAUGAAGUUGGAAUCGCUAGUAAUCGCAGAUCAGCACGCUGCGGUGAAUACGUUCCCGGGCCUU
Molecule: ribosomal RNA, 444 nt
Filed under: uncultured Desulfocapsa sp.
Lineage: Bacteria; Pseudomonadati; Thermodesulfobacteriota; Desulfobulbia; Desulfobulbales; Desulfocapsaceae
Description: bacterial SSU rRNA
Rfam family: Bacterial small subunit ribosomal RNA
Source: RNAcentral